AGGGUUGUAGCUCAGUGGUAGAGCAUGUGCUUAGCAUGCACGAGAUCCUGGGUUAAAUCCCCAGUACCUCCA
RNAcentral lists this transfer RNA (72 nucleotides) under Camelus bactrianus (Bactrian camel). It matches the Rfam family "tRNA". From Rfam's summary of the family: Transfer RNA (tRNA) molecules are approximately 80 nucleotides in length. Their secondary structure includes four short double-helical elements and three loops (D, anti-codon, and T loops). Further hydrogen bonds mediate the characteristic L-shaped molecular structure. tRNAs have two regions of fundamental functional importance: the anti-codon, which is responsible for specific mRNA codon recognition, and the 3' end, to which the tRNAs corresponding amino acid is attached (by aminoacyl-tRNA synthetases). tRNAs cope with the degeneracy of the genetic code in two manners: having more than one tRNA (with a specific anti-codon) for a particular amino acid; and 'wobble' base-pairing, i.e. permitting non-standard base-pairing at the 3rd anti-codon position. RNAcentral also lists the same sequence under 1 other name. The record is from Rfam by way of RNAcentral. Lineage: Eukaryota; Metazoa; Chordata; Mammalia; Artiodactyla; Camelidae.